GGUGGGUGGGCGCUGCCGCCGUUGAUCCGGAAUUUCAAGAUGUUCUGAAUAGCCACAAGCUAAAAAUUGUGGCUGGGAUCUGCAACGACGUUCCUCCAGUCCAUCGCCAACAGCUGCAUUCAUCCAAGGAUGAUGCAAGCCAUUUACCAGAAAGAAGAAGCAGAUUUUUGGCGAGGAUUACCUGCCUGGAGUGCAAGGCGGGGGCGCAGCGAGGAUCAGGCUGGCCAGCGGGGCGAGGACCAAGCUGGGGCGGAGGCGGCCAGGCUGGGGCGGUGGCGAGGACCGGGGCGGCGAGCUGGGUCGGAGGCGGCCAGGCUAGGACGGCGGCGAGGACCAAGCUGGGGCGGAGGCAGUCCUGCUGGUUGAGGGAGGAGGAGGAGGGGCUGGCGACGGGGACGAGCGCUGACCUGGAGGAAGACGACGACGAUCUGUUUUUAAAAUCAGGGUAGUUCUGUACUUUUGUUUGUUUUCACCUUUUUUUUGCAUACUAAUUGGAGAGCUUUAUUCAUCGAAAAGCAUUCAUGGAUGAGUCAGCCAAUAGGCUGGUCACCAGGAAGCUUGGAGUAUCAUCUAGCCAGCUAUCUGUUACAUCCGGUGCACAGGCACGCUUUGUACAAAGAUGCGCAGGAAGAUUAGCUGAUCUACUUACAUGUCGAACAUCGAAAGAUGUAAAGUAAGUACUGAGCUCUCCUAUCUCAUCUAAUAAAUAGGCCACAAUAGAACGUGAAUUGUGA
This is a long non-coding RNA of Triticum dicoccoides, 734 nucleotides long. RefSeq lists it as uncharacterized. Lineage: Eukaryota; Viridiplantae; Streptophyta; Magnoliopsida; Poales; Poaceae. The transcript is spliced from 3 exons. The record is from RefSeq and is a predicted model, not a curated record.